UCAGAGGGGGGUAGANUCCCACGUGUAGCAGUGAAAUGCGUAGAGAUGUGGAGGAAUACCGAUGGCGAAGGCAGCCCCCUGGGAUAAUACUGACGUUCAUGCUNGAAAGCGUGGGUAGCAAACAGGAUUAGAUACCCUGGUAGUCCACGCCCUAAACGAUGUCGAUUAGCUGUUGGGGCACUUGAUGCCUUAGUAGCGAAGCUAACGCGUGAAAUUGAGCGCCUGGGGAGUACGGUCGCAAGAUUAAAACUCAAAGGAAUUGACGGGGACCCGCACAAGGGGUGGAUGAUGUGGAUUAAUUCGAUGCAACGCGAAGAACCUUACCUGGUCUUGACAUGUACGGAAUCUUCCAGAGACGGAAGAGUGCCUUCGGGAGCCGUAACACAGGUGCAGCAUGGCUGUCGUCAGCUCGUGUCGUGAGAUGCUGGGUUAAGUCCCGCAACGAGCGCAACCCUUGUCAUUAGUUGCCACCAUUUAGUUGGGCACUCUAAUGAGACUGCCGGUGACAAACCGGAGGAAGGUGGGGAUGACGUCAAGUCCUCAUGGCCCUUAUGACCAGGGCUUCACACGUCAUACAAUGGUCGGUACAGAGGGUAGCCAAGCCGCGAGGUGGAGCCAAUCUCAGAAAACCGAUCGUAGUCCGGAUUGCACUCUGCAACUCGAGUGCAUGAAGUCGGAAUCGCUAGUAAUCGCAGGUCAGCAUACUGCGGUGAAUACGUUCCCGGGUCUUGUACACACCGCCCGUCACACCAUGGGAGUGGGGGAUACCAGAAGUAGGUAGGCUAACCGCAAGGAGGCCGCUUACC
Molecule: ribosomal RNA, 806 nt
Filed under: uncultured bacterium
Lineage: Bacteria
Description: bacterial SSU rRNA
Rfam family: Bacterial small subunit ribosomal RNA
Source: RNAcentral